Molecule: ribosomal RNA, 555 nt
Filed under: Escherichia coli
Lineage: Bacteria; Pseudomonadati; Pseudomonadota; Gammaproteobacteria; Enterobacterales; Enterobacteriaceae
Description: partial 23S ribosomal RNA
Rfam family: Bacterial large subunit ribosomal RNA
Source: RNAcentral
GGGUUGUGAGGUUAAGCGACUAAGCGUACACGGUGGAUGCCCUGGCAGUCAGAGGCGAUGAAGGACGUGCUAAUCUGCGAUAAGCGUCGGUAAGGUGAUAUGAACCGUUAUAACCGGCGAUUUCCGAAUGGGGAAACCCAGUGUGUUUCGACACACUAUCAUUAACUGAAUCCAUAGGUUAAUGAGGCGAACCGGGGGAACUGAAACAUCUAAGUACCCCGAGGAAAAGAAAUCAACCGAGAUUCCCCCAGUAGCGGCGAGCGAACGGGGAGCAGCCCAGAGCCUGAAUCAGUAUGUGUGUUAGUGGAAGCGUCUGGAAAGGCGCGCGAUACAGGGUGACAGCCCCGUACACAAAAAUGCACAUAUUGUGAGCUCGAUGAGUAGGGCGGGACACGUGGUAUCCUGUCUGAAUAUGGGGGGACCAUCCUCCAAGGCUAAAUACUCCUGACUGACCGAUAGUGAACCAGUACCGUGAGGGAAAGGCGAAAAGAACCCCGGCGAGGGGAGUGAAAAAGAACCUGAAACCGUGUACGUACAAGCAGUGGGAGCACGCUU